Molecule: ribosomal RNA, 1160 nt
Filed under: Janthinobacterium sp. SUN033
Lineage: Bacteria; Pseudomonadati; Pseudomonadota; Betaproteobacteria; Burkholderiales; Oxalobacteraceae
Description: partial 23S ribosomal RNA
Rfam family: Bacterial large subunit ribosomal RNA
Source: RNAcentral
GGACAAGCGAAUAAGUGCACAUGGUGGAUGCCUUGGCGAUUACAGGCGAUGAAGGACGUAGUAGCUUGCGAUAAGCUGCGGGGAGUGAGCAAACACACUUUGAUCCGCAGAUUUCCGAAUGGGGCAACCCACCCUUUUAGGGUAUUGCAUACUGAAUACAUAGGUAUGCAAGGCGAACGCGGCGAACUGAAACAUCUAAGUAGCUGCAGGAAAAGAAAUCAACCGAGAUUCCCAAAGUAGCGGCGAGCGAAAUGGGAAGAGCCUGUACGUGAUAGUCGGACCGAUAACAGAAUCCUCUGGAAAUAGGAGCCAUAGUGGGUGAUAGCCCCGUAUGUGAAAUCGGACCGGUGGUACUAAGCGUACGACAAGUAGGGCGGGACACGUGACAUCCUGUCUGAAUAUGGGGGGACCAUCCUCCAAGGCUAAAUACUCGUAAUCGACCGAUAGUGAACCAGUACCGUGAGGGAAAGGCGAAAAGAACCCCGGAAGGGGAGUGAAAUAGAUCCUGAAACCGUGUGCAUACAAACAGUAGGAGCGGACUUGUUCCGUGACUGCGUACCUUUUGUAUAAUGGGUCAGCGACUUACAUUCAGUGGCAAGGUUAACCAGAUAGGGAAGCCGUAGAGAAAUCGAGUCCGAAUAGGGCGAUCAGUCGCUGGGUGUAGACCCGAAACCAAGUGAUCUACUCAUGGCCAGGAUGAAGGUGCGGUAACACGCCCUGGAGGUCCGAACCCACUAAUGUUGAAAAAUUAGGGGAUGAGCUGUGGGUAGGGGUGAAAGGCUAAACAAACUUGGAAAUAGCUGGUUCUCUCCGAAAACUAUUUAGGUAGUGCCUCAAGUAUCACCAUCGGGGGUAGAGCACUGUUAUGGCUAGGGGGUCAUUGCGACUUACCAAACCAUUGCAAACUCCGAAUACCGAUGAGUGCGAGCUUGGGAGACAGACGUCGGGUGCUAACGUCCGGCGUCAAGAGGGAAACAACCCAGACCGCCAGCUAAGGUCCCAAAGAUUGGCUAAGUGGAAAACGAAGUGGGAAGGCUAAAACAGUCAGGAUGUUGGCUUAGAAGCAGCCAUCAUUUAAAGAAAGCGUAAUAGCUCACUGAUCGAGUCGUCCUGCGCGGAAGAUGUAACGGGGCUAAGCCAGUCACCGAAGCUGCGGAUAU